AUAGUACUCCCUCCGUUUCAAAUUAUUCGUCGGAGAAAUGGAUGUAUUUAGAACUAAAAUACAUCUAGAUACAUCCAUAUCUGUGACAAAUAAUUCGGAACGGAGGGAGUACAAC
Triticum aestivum (bread wheat) is the source of this 115-nucleotide non-coding RNA. NCBI's taxonomy places the organism in Eukaryota, Viridiplantae, Streptophyta, Magnoliopsida, Poales, Poaceae. The record is from Rfam.